UACGGAGGGGGCUAGCGUUGUUCGGAAUUACUGGGCGUAAAGGGCGCGUAGGCGGCCCACUAAGUUGGAAGUGAAAGCCCGGAGCUUAACUCCGGAAUUGCUUUCAAAACUGGAGGGCUAGAGAGCGAUAGAGGAUGGUGGAAUUCCUAGUGUAGAGGUGAAAUUCGUAGAGAUUAGGAGGAACAUCGGUGGCGAAAGCGACCAUCUGGAUCGCAUCUGACGCUGAGGCGCGAAAGCGUGGGGAGCAAACAGG
RNAcentral lists this ribosomal RNA (253 nucleotides) under uncultured bacterium. Its description in RNAcentral is "partial 16S ribosomal RNA". It matches the Rfam family "Bacterial small subunit ribosomal RNA", at positions 524 to 776 of the family's 1533-position model. The record is from RNAcentral.